This 68-nucleotide transfer RNA is filed under the name Erysipelotrichaceae bacterium. RNAcentral describes it as "tRNA-Phe". It matches the Rfam family "tRNA". Rfam says of the family: Transfer RNA (tRNA) molecules are approximately 80 nucleotides in length. Their secondary structure includes four short double-helical elements and three loops (D, anti-codon, and T loops). Further hydrogen bonds mediate the characteristic L-shaped molecular structure. tRNAs have two regions of fundamental functional importance: the anti-codon, which is responsible for specific mRNA codon recognition, and the 3' end, to which the tRNAs corresponding amino acid is attached (by aminoacyl-tRNA synthetases). tRNAs cope with the degeneracy of the genetic code in two manners: having more than one tRNA (with a specific anti-codon) for a particular amino acid; and 'wobble' base-pairing, i.e. permitting non-standard base-pairing at the 3rd anti-codon position. Lineage: Bacteria; Bacillati; Bacillota; Erysipelotrichia; Erysipelotrichales; Erysipelotrichaceae. The record is from RNAcentral.
AUAUAAUAAAGGUACAAAAUGGACUGAAAAUCCAUGUGUCGCCGGUUCAAUCCCGGCUGGGACCACCA